Molecule: ribosomal RNA, 403 nt
Filed under: uncultured bacterium
Lineage: Bacteria
Description: partial 16S ribosomal RNA
Rfam family: Bacterial small subunit ribosomal RNA
Source: RNAcentral
GACGAACGCUGGCGGCGUGCCUAAUACAUGCAAGUCGAACGCAGUGGGGACGGGUGAGUAACACGUGGGUAACCUCCCAUCAGAGGGGAUAACACUUGGAAACAGGUGCUAAACCGAUACUGAUGGAUGAACCCGCGGUGCAUUAGCUAGUUGGUGAGGUAACGGCGAACCAAGGCCACGAUGCAUAGCCGACCUGAGAGGGUGAUCGGCCACACUGUUACUGAGACACGGCCCAGCCUCCUACGGGAGGCAGCAGUAGGGAAUCUUCGGCAAUGGACGAAAGUCUGAUCGAGCAACGCCGCGUGAGUGAAGAAGGUUUUCGGAUCGUAAAACUCUGUUGUUAGAGAAGCGGUAUCUAACCAGAAAGCCACGGCUAACUACGUGCCAGCAGCCGCGGUAAUUC